RNAcentral lists this long non-coding RNA (249 nucleotides) under Arachis ipaensis. Its description in RNAcentral is "long non-coding RNA (AIPA_LNC000387)". The record is from RNAcentral. Lineage: Eukaryota; Viridiplantae; Streptophyta; Magnoliopsida; Fabales; Fabaceae.
UUGGCAAAUAAGAACAAUAUUCAUUAUGGUAAACAAUAAUCUACAAAUAUAUUAUGCAACAGAGACUAUUUACAAAGGAGUGAAACCCAUGUAUGAGACCCUCAUAAACAUAAUCAAGUAGCACACUUUACAUGUACAUUCCCCUCCCCUACAUUCACAUGAAAAAUUCAAGUGCAUUAUGACAAUAAAAAAAAAUUAAAAAUCAAGAACCUCAAGAUUCCUAGGUUUUUUUUUUUUUUUGUUUCUUUG